UCUACUGUCGCGAGUUGCCAGGAGCAGACCCUGAUGCCAGCACAUGUUCGGCCUGUGCAGUCAGCGUGACAUCGUGCUGAGGCUGACAUCCUGCCUCUACACCUGAAAGCCCUGCUUAGAAGUCCUGGACAUACACGGAUCAUCCAGAGGAGCCAGGAGACAAGAGGAAAGGUCUCAUCAUCACUACAUUGCAUGGACACAAUCCCCUGUCAGCUUUAUGCAUUACUGACCUCCACAGGCAUUGUAAGGGAAGACACAGCAGGAAGACAUGAAGAUGAAGACUACAUGAACCAGAGGAAAUUCUUGGAGCAGAGGGGGAUGUCUGAAUUUUCAUAGACAUCCAGCAAAGGUUUGAAGGUUUAAAGUUCUUUGAGUAUCUAGAAUACAGUAGGUUUUAAUCUGGAUAA
Pogoniulus pusillus (Red-fronted tinkerbird) is the source of this 407-nucleotide long non-coding RNA. RefSeq lists it as uncharacterized. NCBI's taxonomy places the organism in Eukaryota, Metazoa, Chordata, Aves, Piciformes, Lybiidae. The transcript has 3 exons. The record is from RefSeq and is a predicted model, not a curated record.